This 402-nucleotide ribosomal RNA is filed under the name uncultured bacterium. RNAcentral describes it as "partial 16S ribosomal RNA". It matches the Rfam family "Bacterial small subunit ribosomal RNA", at positions 355 to 774 of the family's 1533-position model. The record is from RNAcentral.
UGGGGAAUAUUGGACAAUGGGCGAAAGCCUGAUCCAGCAAUACCGAGUGAGUGAUGAAGGCCCUAGGGUUGUAAAGCUCUUUUAGCAAGGAAGAUAAUGACGUUACUUGCAGAAAAAGCCCCGGCUAACUCCGUGCCAGCAGCCGCGGUAAGACGGAGGGGGCUAGCGUUGUUCGGAAUUACUGGGCGUAAAGAGUGCGUAGGAGGUUUAGUAAGUUGGAAGUGAAAGCCCGGGGCUUAACCUCGGAAUUGCUUUCAAAACUACUAAUCUAGAGUGUAGUAGGGGAUGAUGGAAUUCCUAGUGUAGAGGUGAAAUUCUUAGAUAUUAGGAGGAACACCGGUGGCGAAGGCGGUCAUCUGGGCUACAACUGACGCUGAUGCACGAAAGCGUGGGGAGCAAACA